Salvia splendens (bonfire salvia) is the source of this 1841-nucleotide long non-coding RNA. RefSeq lists it as uncharacterized. The record is from RefSeq and is a predicted model, not a curated record. The transcript has 2 exons. Lineage: Eukaryota; Viridiplantae; Streptophyta; Magnoliopsida; Lamiales; Lamiaceae.
UAAAUUUUAAUUAGUUCAAAUGCGUCGGAAGUCGUAGAUAAAUUAAAUUCUAGAGGUGUGUAGAUAGUUUCUUAUUAUGUGAAUUAUUUGUUUGUGUGGUGUUUUUUGUUAGAAAUAGAGAAAGAAUAAAAGAAAAGAAAGAAAGGAAAUAAAGAAAUAAGAAAAGAAAAAGAAAUUGGAAAAGGGAAUGAGAUUUUUUUUAUCUCAAUUCCCCACUUACGGGAACCUUCUACACACACCUCUCUCUCUCUUUUCUCUUCACCAAUUCCUCAAAUUGAGAGAUACCCAAAAAUCGACCAAAAGGGGAAAUCCCCAAAUUGAGGAAAACCCUCAAUUCCCGUCGCCAUCCUCAACUCGCCGGAGUUGGCGACUGCCACUGCCACCGUUGGGUCCCCUGCACCUCGAUUUCCAUCUCCAGAAUCAGCCACCGCCGUCGUCUCCUUUGCGGAAAAACGCCGACGCAGCGACGGGGGGACGGGCAGACGUUGCUCAGCCGCUGUCGCUGAAAUUCCGCCGUCGCCGCCGUGGUUAAUCAGCCGCUGCUGUUACAGCAGCCCCGAAACACUCCCAUUCAACCCGAAUCAACUCCGAACAGCCCCGAAAUCAACCCGAACAUCCACGCACAACCCCGAAAGAUAAGUUUCAUUACUAUUAUGUUCCUUUCGCAACUUCAGAUUAAUCACAACGGGUGUUCAAUUGUAAUGUUCGGUUUGUCAUUGAUUGUGUUGUUUGAUCGGUGAUACUUGUUGAUUGAAUUAUGUGGGAAAUCUAACGAAAUUAUUGGGAUGAUUAGAGUAUAUAGUUGGAUUAUCUUAGAUAGUAUGUAUGUAUUUGAAGUAUACAAGUAGAAAUCUUGUUGCAGUGAAGGAAAUUAAGGAAACAGCUACUGUGCCCUGUUCUGGCAGCAUGUUACAAGUCCCGUUUAACCAAGUAAACGACCUCAUUUUCUUACCAAAUUUUAACUGAACAUACUUUUAUGUGUCUUCUGCCAUGUGACCAAAAUUCAGCUUCAUCCGAGUUCAAAUGAAUUUAUAGUGAUUUUUGUAAUGAGACUGCCCCUGUUCUGCCAGGUUUGAAUAAAACAGACAUAAACCCUAAACAAAUUAGAAUUUGAAGUCCAAAGUUAAUCCCCAUAAAAUAGACCGUCAUGGCUUUUAUUUUCAUCGGGUUACGUUGAAUUUCGACUUCGUUGUUGACCAGAAUGAUUUUUCAAAGUCGGUGCAAAUUCUGUAAAAUCUUGGGACAUGAUAAAAGUUGAAAUGCUUAUGCUUUAACCUUAUUUUUGGACUAGUAUAUGAAGAUAUAUUUCCUAAUGUGAAAUCUUGAAGGAGAAAUAGUUGUUUUUGACUAAUCUAAUAUUUUGUAGUAUACAUGCAUAAAUAAUAGACAAGAAUUAUGAAAUUAAGUUAGAAAAUAAUGGUUAACUGUAUGAAUUUGAUACUUUAUAUGCGAGAGCGAAAUAUAUAUUGAAGGGUAAUCCUACCCCAGGAAAUAACAAGGACAAGGACAAGGAGCAGGAAUAAAGGGAUUCGUGUGUCAAGGGCGUUUUGGAUUUCGAGAUUAGCACUUUCGAUUUACGGCUGCUCAAGUCGGGUCACUAGCCAACCUUUUUGUGUUCAGAAAACUCUUUCGGAUAUGUUAGAUGUGGCAUGUAUAGCAAGUGUAAUAUAGUUAAGACGUUUCAUUUACUUCGUUUUCCAGGUUGUAUAAAUAUAUAUAUAGGCUUUUAGAAACAGGUUUAUGGUCUAAUUUCAGAUGUCAUAUAGCAGUUUUUCCGUUUACCAAGGAAAGGAAAAUGAUAUAUCUUUGUAUAAAAAAAAGAAUCAAGGAUUUUCUGUUAA